AUGUGAAAAGCUUCACCAUUUUCGCUUCCACAAGCUCAGCCUCAUUGCUGUCGUCCUUCUUCCGGCUGUUCGUUGUUCGGGGCGGCAAUUUUGCGAUGCUGGUGACAUCGUAAGCUGUUUAUUGUCAGUUUGUUUUAGCGCCACUUUGCUUUUCCCCGCUUUUCCUCGCUUUUCCUCGGAUCUUUCUUGGCAGAGGGUAAUUUACGAGCUGCUUUGAUCAAUGCAAGCCGCAUCAUCAAGAGCAUACACUACAUUUGUGUGAGGAUAGUAGGUCGUGGCAGGGGUUUUUCUUAGUCUAGGAUGGAAAGAGGUUUGAUCAGAAACUUGCCAAGACAUUAUUAUGGUUGCACUGGAACACAAAGUCGGCCAUAGUGAAUAGUUGUCUGUUUGGAAAGUCUUUUCUUACUUAAAUGUACAGCUGUGAGGCCAUUAGCUAAAGAAUUAUUUCAUGGACGGCAACUUCUGGAAAAUACAUUGUUUAUUGCAGUGGAUUUCUGAGCUUCGUUGUCUAUGACAGGCAGCCUUUGAAAAUCUGCGGGCCAGGCGCUUAUUUGCAAUCGUUGAUGCUUUUGUAAUCAUCGAGAAAUGCUAGGUAUCAGUUUGUUACGGUUCUUAGAAUUACAUGAGGAGGUCACCAAAAUGAAGAAGAUUUAAAUGUCAGCGAUAGAAGGCGCUGAUAUGUCGCUGAUUAGCGAACGUUGAGCUAUGACCAGUGCCUUUGUCUUAUGCUCGUCGACCACCGCAGAGGGUAAUGACCAGACUUAUGUUUGCACAGAGGACUUAGACAGUGAAGGUAUGACCUCAACCAGUUCAAAUUGCUGAACGACACUCUCAUCCACAGCACCAAAGUUUCGGACAGUAAACUCAGGGACCUCUUGUAAUUCUUCAUACACCAUCUCUGGGAAUUGCCACAGCUGGCUGUCGGGACCAGGAACCACUGGAGGUCGAGAUUAUGCAACUGAUGGGGGUACUGCUCGAGAAAGAAGUUGAGCUCCGAAAUUGGGAACUGUAUACGGCGAAUGUUGCGACCUAGAACAGCGAAAGACAGUGAAGCUUUGGAAGAGAAAUUAAACUGGGAUGUACACGCAACAGGAGCCCCCGCAGACUGUGCGUCAACAUCGCAGGUGAAGGAGCUACGCGAGCUUGAACAUCCUUUUAUGGAGGCUGAACUCGUACAUCAAUACGAUCUUGAUAAUAACCAAUAUUUGUGUUACAGAUUGUAUUUGCCUCUUUAUUUACACCAGAUGUAGUCUCUACUCAACAUUUGAUACCAAUAAGAGUGAAUAUUGUUACUUA
Long non-coding RNA from Physcomitrium patens, 1296 nucleotides. RefSeq lists it as uncharacterized. Lineage: Eukaryota; Viridiplantae; Streptophyta; Bryopsida; Funariales; Funariaceae. The record is from RefSeq and is a predicted model, not a curated record.